Molecule: ribosomal RNA, 628 nt
Filed under: uncultured marine eukaryote
Lineage: Eukaryota
Description: bacterial SSU rRNA
Rfam family: Eukaryotic small subunit ribosomal RNA
Source: RNAcentral
UGUUAAAAAGCUCGUAGUUGGAUCAAGAGUCGGACACUGCACGGUGGCCCCAUUAGCCAAUUUGGCUCCGGUCAUGUUGGCGGUGGCGGAUCAACCCCGUGCGCCAAACUGUCCGCUCUAACAGACCGAAGCGGUUCCCUGUGAGUAGGCCCCUUGAUUGGGGUCGAAAGCGUCUACGCAUCAACCAUAUGCAUACGGGACGGCGGUCAAAGUUACUGUGAACAAACCAGCGUGUCCAAAGCAGGCUUUCGCCUGAAUGUUCGAGCAUGGAAUAACAAGGGGUCGAUUAUCUCGGUUCUUUUUGUUGGUUUUAACCCGAGAAGGAGAAAUUCAGACCACGGUGUCUGAGUUGGGUUUCCCGAGGCUUCGGCUGAGGCCCCAAUUAGGCCGUAUCCUUACGGGAUCAAUAGGGACUGACGGGGUCGUACGUACUGUCGCGUCAGAGGUGAAAUUCUUAGAUCGCGGCAAGACGAACUUCCUGCGAAAGCAUUCGACAAGAAUGUCUCCAUUAAUCAAGAACGAGAGUGUGGGGAUCGAAGAUGAUCAGAUACCGUCGUAGUCCACUACUGUAAACAAUGCCGUCUCAGGAUUGAGAAGUGAACUGAAUGACUUUCACAGCACUAACCCU